ACGAACGCUGGCGGCGUGCCUAAUACAUGCAAGUCGAACGCGAGCGACCGGUGCUUGCACUGGUCAAUCUAGUGGCGAACGGGUGAGUAACACGUGGGUAACCUGCCCAUCAGAGGGGGAUAACAUCCGGAAACGGAUGCUAAAACCGCAUAGGUCUUCGAACCGCAUGGUUUGAAGAGGAAAAGAGGCGCAAGCUUCUGCUGAUGGAUGGACCCGCGGUGCAUUAGCUAGUUGGUGAGGUAACGGCUCACCAAGGCCGUGAUGCAUAGCCGACCUGAGAGGGUGAUCGGCCACAUUGGGACUGAGACACGGCCCAAACUCCUACGGGAGGCAGCAGUAGGGAAUCUUCCGCAAUGGACGCAAGUCUGACGGAGCAACGCCGCGUGAGUGAAGAAGGUUUUCGGAUCGUAAAACUCUGUUGUUAGAGAAGAACAAGUGCUAGAGUAACUGUUAGCGCCUUGACGGUAUCUAACCAGAAAGCCACGGCUAACUACGUG
RNAcentral lists this ribosomal RNA (497 nucleotides) under uncultured bacterium. Its description in RNAcentral is "partial 16S ribosomal RNA". It matches the Rfam family "Bacterial small subunit ribosomal RNA", at positions 29 to 507 of the family's 1533-position model. The record is from RNAcentral.